RNAcentral lists this ribosomal RNA (450 nucleotides) under uncultured bacterium. RNAcentral describes it as "partial 16S ribosomal RNA". It matches the Rfam family "Bacterial small subunit ribosomal RNA", at positions 338 to 795 of the family's 1533-position model. The record is from RNAcentral.
CCUACGGGGGGCAGCAGUAAGGAAUAUUGGACAAUGCCCGCAAGGGUGAUCCAGCCAUGCCGCGUGCAGGAAGACGGACCUAUGGUUUGUAAACUGCUUUUGAACAAGAGAAAACCCCCUUACGUGUAAGGGGCUGAUAGUAUUGUUAGAAUAAGCAUCGGCUAACUUCGUGCCAGCAGCCGCGGUAAGACGAAGGAUGCAAGCGUUAUUGGGAUUCAUUGGGUUUUAAGGGGGCGGAUAAGUCUGUAUUGAAAUCUUCUCGCUUAACGAGAAAACUGCCAUUGAUACUGUCAAGCUUGAGUACAGUUGCCGUUGGCGGAAUAUGACAUGUAGUGGUGAAAUACAUAGAGAUGUCAUAGAACACCGAUUGCGAAGGCAGCUAACGAAACUGUAACUGACGCUGAGGCGCGAAAGUGCGGGGAUCAAACAGGAUUAGAUACCCUAGUAGUC